GGCUCAGGACGAACGCUGGCGGCGCGCCUAAUACAUGCAAGUCGAGCGAGAAGGUGUAGCAAUACACUUGUAAAGCGGCGAACGGGUGAGGAAUGCAUGGGUAACCUACCCUCGAGUGGGGAAUAACUAGCCGAGAGGUUAGCUAAUACCGCAUACGUUUCCGGAACUUCGGUUUCGGAAAGAAAGCAAUACCGUGGGUAUUGCGCUCCUGGAUGGGCUCAUGUCCUAUCAGCUUGUUGGUGAGGUAACGGCUCACCAAGGCUUCGACGGGUAGCUGGUCUGAGAGGACGAUCAGCCACACUGGCACUGCGACACGGGCCAGACUCCUACGGGAGGCAGCAGUAAGGAAUAUUGCGCAAUGGACGAAAGUCUGACGCAGCGACGCCGCGUGGGGGAUGAAGGUCUUCGGAUUGUAAACCCCUUUCGGGAGGGAAGAUGGAGUGGGUAACCACUUGGACGGUACCUCCAGAAGCAGCCACGGCUAACUUCGUGCCAGCAGCCGCGGUAAUACGAAGGUGGCAAGCGUUGUUCGAAUUCACUGGGCGUACAGGGAGCGUAGGCGGUUGGGUAAGCCCUCCGUGAAAUCUCCGGGCCUAAACCGGAAAGUGCAGAGGGGACUGCUCAGCUAGAGGAUGGGAGAGGAGCGCGGAAUUCCCGGUGUAGCGGUGAAAUGCGUAGAGA
This 681-nucleotide ribosomal RNA is filed under the name uncultured nitrite-oxidizing bacterium. Its description in RNAcentral is "bacterial SSU rRNA". It matches the Rfam family "Bacterial small subunit ribosomal RNA", at positions 21 to 696 of the family's 1533-position model. The record is from RNAcentral.